Long non-coding RNA from Canis lupus familiaris (dog), 1148 nucleotides. RefSeq lists it as uncharacterized. Lineage: Eukaryota; Metazoa; Chordata; Mammalia; Carnivora; Canidae. The record is from RefSeq and is a predicted model, not a curated record. The transcript is spliced from 4 exons.
GCCCCCGGAGAGCUACCCCGCUGCCUGGGGAGCCGGGAGUGUGAACAGGGGGCAGCACGUGGGCCGCACGCAGGGCCUGGCGGCCAGGGAGCGCCCGGUGUGACCAUCUCCCCCACUGUGGCCCGAGGAUCCCUCCCCCCAGGCCGUGUGGGCCUCUGGCCAACUGCACAGCUUCCGGAUUCCCACAACGAUCCUGGCGGACGCCUCUCAGCACCUGACACGGCCUCGCGUGGCGCGGUCCCUCGGCGGCCUGGCACGUCCCCGCCCAAGGCGGCACUGGGCGCUGGCAGGGCCCCGAGCUUCCACGUGUCUGGAAGGCAGCCAGGAUGAUGUUGCCGUGGAGCCAUCCACAAACUGCGGGGCCAAGUGUAUUAAUCUAACGUGUCAGCCGCUGAUGCUAACAUAGAGCAGAGCUGUCCUGCUCCUCCAUCUACCCCUGGAGCCUCUGAGGACUUGGGGCCGGGCUGCUUGUCUGCAACGGAAGAUGGAUUUGUUGGAUACACAUGCACGUUCACCCAAUCUCGCUUCUGACCAGUGAUUACUCCUGAAAACGCACUGGGUUUCCAAGGUCCCACACGGGAGGGGAGCGAGCACGAGGGACAGCGCAUCACUUCCACCCUACAGGAUCCUGAAUGUCAAAUCCUUCCGAAAGCAGUUCCGUUACAAUACUGCAGAAGACUUCACAAUCGAUCAAUGUCCUUAGAACUAGAUUCUAAACAUGAGAGUUUUGGAACACAUUCACAACGAUGACCAGCAUAGCAGAACAACAGCCCUUUCUCUCAGGAGGACUGACAUGGAAGCCCAGCAAGUCCCACCAUCUGGGUUACCUCAGUCCAAGCAAAGGCCAGGGAAGGUGGGGGGAGAUGGGUGAUCAGAAAAGAAUGAUUGCUGGCGAGGGUGGCGCUGGCACAUGCAUCAACACUACACAUGGGGGUUCCAGGAAGGGAGUCUGUCAUAAAGUGGCCAAGAGCCCUUCUCCAAGGAACCCAGGACAACAUACAAAAUCUUUCUUCUGGACGCCAAGUGUUUACCUCAUGCUCUUCAGAAAUUCUCAUUCACCUUCACGAAGGAUAUGUCAGUCGGGGGCGGGAAGGGCACCUGGGUGGCUCAGUCGGUCAGGUGUCCAACUCUUGAUUUCAGUUCAGGAU